Molecule: long non-coding RNA, 1737 nt
Filed under: Triticum aestivum (bread wheat)
Lineage: Eukaryota; Viridiplantae; Streptophyta; Magnoliopsida; Poales; Poaceae
Description: long non-coding RNA (TAES_LNC022358)
Source: RNAcentral
CUGGAAUAUUUUUGGCCACGUACGUUAUUCAACUAGGUAACUCCGCUGCUCUGUUACCACAAGCAACUCCAUGCCUUAGUUAGGUCGGUCCCUAUUUUUUAGGACUAGGUGUGCUACUAUUCCUACUUCCUACUGAUUUGUCCACUUUCUCUCUGUCCUACUACUCUCUUUUCAUUAAUCCCCCGAAUCUCUAAUCUUUGUUUGUGUAGAUUCUCUCUUACCUAUGCCUACAAGGUCGAUGAAAAUCCAAGCAAGUUGCAAGGAAGAUUCAUCUAUGUAAUAAUGUAAUAUCCAAGCUCUGUUGUCUCUGCUUAAUAACUUCUUUUUCUGAAAUUUAGUUGCAUUGAAUGAUUAAUUCCUCUCAUGCCAAUGUGGCAAUAUCUCUUGUUUGAAUUCUCAAUUGUCUUUGCCAGUUACAUAGUGGCUUACAUGCCACCUGGAUACUGGAGUAGCAUAGUAUAUGGGAAUAUGAUUUCAUUUUUAAGCAUUUCUAUGCCACAACUAGUAUCGUUGGUCCUUUCUAAAGGCCAAUAUGAAAGGGCAACAUAUAUAUGUCAGAUCGCAUGGGUAUUUUAGUUGGUACUUUCAGGUUUUGAUAUUACUAUAUCACUAGAAUUUCCUUUCGAAAAUUGCAAUUAGAUUUUAUCAUAGCAUGGUAAGUAUUGAGAAAUUUGUUCAUCAUACCUCCCAGGUAAACUGGAAGUAUUGUAGUAGUAGUCAAGCAGGAACCAAUUCCAAUUGUAUCCUGGGGAUUUUCUUCCUUGUUUUAGAUCUAGUGAAUAAUGUUUGCUGUGGCAGAUAAAGAAUAAUGUUUGCAUUUACCUCACCCUGUCCUAAAUUGGUUUGUUUACUAAUGUUGCACAUGUCUUAUGUUUCCAUUGUUAAUUUAUUAUUGGAAAUUGGUGAUGAUCAGGUAAAGAAAGAAAUCUUCAAGUCUCAGGUUUUUCUAUAACCAUUCCCACAUGGUGGUAAGCUCUCCCAGCAAAUCAUGAUGUGACUCGGAUCAGGUGUGCAUUUUUUCCUUUUUCUACUAUAAAAAAACUUUCCAAUGAGCACACUAAAGUGUAGCAUUCAAUAAGCAGACUUCAUGAUAUUCUAUUGAAAUAAAGUAAUCUAUGAUGUUCUUGAAGUUUUGUCAUGAGUGCCUUAUAUAUGUGCACCAUGGCCAUAAGUACGAGCAGCAUGCAUAUGUGCAUUGAGUCAUCCAACAUGAGGAAUAAGAGAGAUAAAAGCGGGUCCACAGCAAAAAGCGGUGCGGCAAGGCUUGCGUCUACUUCUAGUGGUUACCUAUACUCGAAUGGAGUGCCUUCUUGAGUAGGUGUUUUGGUACUAGCUUGCCUUGUGAAGUAAUAAAUGUUGUCAAUGCUAUGCUUUAUCCAAGUUUUUAUGGUACAUUGUAUUUAUGAAUGUAAGAAUGUAAUGGCAACUUCUUUACAUUUCGCAGGAAAGACAUGCAAGCGGAGGUGGAACCAUGAAGCCGGCGGUUCAGGAAAUUUUGUGUAGUGGUGAUUGAAUCAUUGGUGCUGAAUUUUAUCUAUCAUUUUGUAAACCCACAUUGUGUUUGAGACAAUGAACCAUAGUUAAUUAGCUAUAUUAGCUUAUGGGAAAUUUGGAAAGUCAGUAUGUUGAUAACGGAUGAACUAUUUACAUGUGAAAUUAAUUAAUAUGUGUUUCUAUUGUCUGGUUAUGGUUUAUUAUUGCUGGAGGACAUGCAUGUUGUUGUUAUGAAAUGUCUUG